RNAcentral lists this ribosomal RNA (509 nucleotides) under uncultured bacterium. RNAcentral describes it as "bacterial SSU rRNA". It matches the Rfam family "Bacterial small subunit ribosomal RNA", at positions 36 to 518 of the family's 1533-position model. The record is from RNAcentral.
CUGGCGGCGUGCCUAAUACAUGCAAGUCGAACGGUCUUUCUAUGGAAGCUUGCUUCCACUGAGAAGAUAGUGGCGAACGGGUGAGUAACACGUGGGUAACCUGCCCAUAAGAGGGGGAUAACAUCCGGAAACGGGUGCUAAUACCGCAUAGUUUUCUUGAUCGCAUGAUCGGGAAAGGAAAGACGGCCUUUGUGCUGUCGCUUAUGGAUGGACCCGCGGCGUAUUAGUUAGUUGGUGAGGUAAUGGCUCACCAAGACGAUGAUACGUAGCCGACCUGAGAGGGUGAUCGGCCACAUUGGGACUGAGACACGGCCCAAACUCCUACGGGAGGCAGCAGUAGGGAAUCUUCCGCAAUGGACGAAAGUCUGACGGAGCAACGCCGCGUGAGUGAAGAAAGGUUUUCGGAUCGUAAAACUCUGUUGUCAGAGAAGAACAAGUUGGAGAGUAACUGCUCCAGCCUUGACGGUAUCUGACCAGAAAGCCACGGCUAACUACGUGCCAGCCGCCGC